This 253-nucleotide ribosomal RNA is filed under the name uncultured bacterium. Its description in RNAcentral is "partial 16S ribosomal RNA". It matches the Rfam family "Bacterial small subunit ribosomal RNA", at positions 524 to 776 of the family's 1533-position model. The record is from RNAcentral.
UACAGAGGGUGCAAGCGUUAAUCGGAAUUACUGGGCGUAAAGCGUGCGCAGGCGGUUUUGUAAGUCUGUCGUGAAAUCCCCGGGCUCAACCUGGGAAUUGCGAUGGAGACUGCAAGGCUAGAAUCUGGCAGAGGGGGGUAGAAUUCCACGUGUAGCAGUGAAAUGCGUAGAGAUGUGGAGGAACACCGAUGGCGAAGGCAGCCCCCUGGGUCAAGAUUGACGCUCAUGCACGAAAGCGUGGGGAGCAAACGGG